RNAcentral lists this ribosomal RNA (468 nucleotides) under uncultured bacterium. RNAcentral describes it as "partial 16S ribosomal RNA". It matches the Rfam family "Bacterial small subunit ribosomal RNA", at positions 28 to 507 of the family's 1533-position model. The record is from RNAcentral.
GACGAACGCUGGCGGCGUGCUUAACACAUGCAAGUCGAACGGAAAGGCCCUGCUUUUGUGGGGUGCUCGAGUGGCGCACGGGUGAGUAACACGUGAGUAACCUGCCCUUGACUUUGGGAUAACUUCAGGAAACUGGGGCUAAUACCGGAUAGGAGCUCCUGCUGCAUGGUGGGGGUUGGAAAGUUUCGGCGGUUGGGGCUGGACUCGCGGCUUAUCCGCUUGAUGGUGGGGUAGUGGCUUACCAAGGCUUUGACGGGUAGCCGGCCUGAGAGGGUGACCGGCCACAUUGGGACUGAGAUACGGCCCAGACUCCUACGGGAGGCAGCAGUGGGGAGUUUUGCACAAUGGGCGGAAGCCUGAUGCAGCAACGCCGCGUGCGGGAUGACGUCCUUCGGGGUGUAAACCGCUUUCGCCUGUGACGAAGCGUGAGUGACGGUAAUGGGUAAAGAAGCACCGGCUAACUACGUG